GACGAACGCUGGCGGUGUGCUUAACACAUGCAAGUCGAACGGAAAGGCCCUGCUUUUGUGGGGUGCUCGAGUGGCGAACGGGUGAGUAACACGUGAGUAACCUGCCCUUGACUUUGGGAUAACUUCAGGAAACUGGGGCUAAUACCGGAUAGGAGCUCCUGCUGCAUGAUGGGGGUUGGAAAGUUUCGGCGGUUGGGGAUGGACUCGCGGCUUAUCAGCUUGUUGGUGGGGUAGUGGCUUACCAAGGCUUUGACGGGUAGCCGGCCUGAGAGGGUGACCGGCCACAUUGGGACUGAGAUACGGCCCAGACUCCUACGGGAGGCAGCAGUGGGGAAUAUUGCACAAUGGGCGGAAGCCUGAUGCAGCAACGCCGCGUGCGGGAUGACGGCCUUCGGGUUGUAAACCGCUUUCGCCUGUGACGAAGCGUAAGUGACGGUAAUGGGUAAAGAAGCACCGGCUAACUACGUGCCAGCAGCCGCGGUGAUACGUAGGGUGCGAGCGUUGUCCGGAUUUAUUGGGCGUAAAGGGCUCGUAGGUGGUUGAUCGCGUCGGAAGUGUAAUCUUGGGGCUUAACCCUGAGCGUGCUUUCGAUACGGGUUGACUUGAGGAAGGUAGGGGAGAAUGGAAUUCCUGGUGGAGCGGUGGAAUGCGCAGAUAUCAGGAGGAACACCAGUGGCGAAGGCGGUUCUCUGGGCCUUUCCUGACGCUGAGGAGCGAAAGCGUGGGGAGCGAACAGGCUUAGAUACCCUGGUAGUCCACGCUGUAAACGGUGGGUACUAGGUGUGGGGUCCAUUCCACGGGUUCCGUGCCGUAGCUAACGCUUUAAGUACCCCGCCUGGGGAGUACGGCCGCAAGGCUAAAACUCAAAGGAAUUGACGGGGCCCCGCACAAGCGGCGGAGCAUGCGGAUUAAUUCGAUGCAACGCGUAGAACCUUACCUGGGUUUGACAUGGAUCGGGAGUGCUCAGAGAUGGGUGUGCCUCUUUUGGGGUCGGUUCACAGGUGGUGCAUGGCUGUCGUCAGCUCGUGUCGUGAGAUGUUGGGUUAAGUCCCGCAACGAGCGCAACCCUUGUUCACUGUUGCCAGCACGUUAUGGUGGGGACUCAGUGGAGACCGCCGGGGUCAACUCGGAGGAAGGUGGGGAUGACGUCAAGUCAUCAUGCCCCUUAUGUCCAGGGCUUCACGCAUGCUACAAUGGCUGGUACAGAGAGUGGCGAGCCUGUGAGGGUGAGCGAAUCUCGGAAAGCCGGUCUCAGUUCGGAUUGGGGUCUGCAACUCGACCUCAUGAAGUCGGAGUCGCUAGUAAUCGCAGAUCAGCAACGCUGCGGUGAAUACGUUCCCGGG
Molecule: ribosomal RNA, 1343 nt
Filed under: uncultured bacterium
Lineage: Bacteria
Description: 16S ribosomal RNA
Rfam family: Bacterial small subunit ribosomal RNA
Source: RNAcentral